AAAAACGGUGCAGGAGUCGAAGCUAUAGUUGGGUCUGUGGUUGCUGCAUUAGCUGUUGGAAGUCUUAUUGGUGUGAUUUGUACAAUGUUUUUUCUUACUAGAAAAGGACUCUUAAAAAGUAACGGUUGGAAGAAGCAAAAACCACCUCAGCCAACAGUGUUUUCUGAAACAGAAUUUAUUGAACCGGCAUCAACACUCCAAACUCAGUAUGAUGGUCUGGACCAGGGAGCAGAGAAAUGUCAUACUUAUACAGACCUUAAGCAUAGUUGAUAAAUCGUAUCUUAGAUUUAGAAUAUCAGUCUUGGACGUUAAGAUUAUAGCCUGUUGGCAAACACUUACUUUACAGAGCGAUUGAUUUUGUGGGUUGGGUUGUCUUUUUUGUAUGAAUGAUUGUUUAUUGUUAUUGUUUUGUUCUUGUUGUUGUAUUUUUCUUGGUCUGUUUUUUUUUAUUUUUACUGUGGUCAGUCUUAAGUAAAAUACUUGUUUUGCAAAAAAUAUUGAAGUCUUGAAAAUUUUUACUAACUUAAGAUAUGUCAUUUUUGAAAAGGAGAAUGCACAAAGUUUGUUUUGAAGCUACAUUCCCUACUACUGGUUAAGUUAACUUGGUCCGUUCUUUAAAUAACUACCAGUUUUAUAUGACACUGCAUUCAAUCGUGUUUACCUAUUGUGUUGUACAGAGUUUACAUCAUUUAAUACCUUCACUGAUUUUACUAAAAACUGUUGUGUUUUUAUCCAGAUUCUGAUAAAUUUGGUCGAACAUUGCCAAGUAAAUGAAAAGAAAUUUCAUCGCUGAUUGUAUAGUUUCUUUAGUCAUAAAUACAUAAAAGCACUCGCUCACAUUUGUAAAAAUAACAUUGCACGAUUUGUUGUCAUUGUUAAAUAACAAACAUAAAGUGUACACACGAGAUAACCUCAGAGGGGUGACUCGCCCAUUCUUCAAACGACUCAUUGAUGUUUACAAACAUGUAGACCCUGCUAUUUAAUCCGAAACAUUAAAGAAAGUGCCAAAACUAAGAUGACUUUGACGCAUUGUUCUAUUACUUUAUAUUUAAAUUUCAAGUGAAGAAACGAUUACACUUGUUUAAUUGUUGUUCAGGCAGAUACGUAUUUUUGUAUGAUAAUUAGUGUCAGUUAUUGGCAUUACAAAUCGUUAGUGCAUUUUUGUUCUCUGUUACAUUCAUGUAAGGUUUCAUGUUUGAAGGAUUUUACAUGUUUAAACAUAAUGCCAAACGUUUGAAAAUGGAUAAAACAAUAUGAUGAGGAUGAAUCAGAUUACUCGAUCUAUAUAUAAAAUUAGAUUUAGUUACAUACAAGCACAUAAGGAUAGCAUAGUAUAUCGUUUUGAACAGAAAUAAAUUCAAUAAUCAAGCUGCUGGUUUGGUAAGCUUG
This is a long non-coding RNA of Ruditapes philippinarum (Manila clam), 1389 nucleotides long. RefSeq lists it as uncharacterized. Lineage: Eukaryota; Metazoa; Mollusca; Bivalvia; Venerida; Veneridae. The transcript is spliced from 3 exons. The record is from RefSeq and is a predicted model, not a curated record.